RNAcentral lists this non-coding RNA (24 nucleotides) under Arabidopsis thaliana (thale cress). The record is from RNAcentral. Lineage: Eukaryota; Viridiplantae; Streptophyta; Magnoliopsida; Brassicales; Brassicaceae.
AACCCGAUCUUAAAAGCCUAAGUA